GAUGUUUUUGGUCAACUCCAAUUACAAGUCUGCAAGGAAAGACACUUUGUGGAAGAAUUUCAUAGCCUUAGGCAGCAAUUGAGCCGCUGUGUAAGUAUGCACAGCAAACACAGUGAGUUUGAUCCUAGAAACCUACCUAGAAAACAGCAUGUAGGGAGCUGUCUCCACAGCAAGGGUGAGUAAAAGGGGCUUUCUAAUUGGUGGCUUGUGGUCCAAGUGGAGAGUUUAUCAUCAGUGAACCAGCACUGAAUAACCACGAGUAACUCAAAAUGCCAAUACUUAUUGUUUCUGUUUUUAAUAUUUAUUAUUCUUAAGGAGUGGCACAUACGACAUCUUGGAGAUCUAAAAUACCACGGAAUGAUCCUCAAUAUUUGUUUAUUUAUUUGUUUGUUUGUUUACUUAUUGUUUGCUCUGUAUAUGAGUCCCAAGUGAUUCAUUCACUUAUUUAAUAAAUAUUUCUUAAGCACCAACAUGUGCCACAUACUAUUCUAGGCUGUUAUUUCCUUCUUUUCUUUCUUUCUUUCUUUCUUUCUUUCUUUCUUUCUUUCUUUCCUUGCCAUAUUGAUGAGAGCUUUUAGAUUGCUUUUUUCUUAUUUACCUAAUUUUUUUUAUAGCUAUACCCUUUUUAAGGCACUGUCUCAGUCCAAACUUUAUAAAAACAGGGGUAUGUCUUCUUUGGCCCUUAAGUUAUUUGAUGCUGCAGUAUGGCUACUGUCACCACAAGCAAUGGGGAAUUAAUUAAGAAGGUUAAAGUGACCACAUUUCUCUAUAAACAUUCACGGUAAGAAAGACGGGUGCAGAACAAUGAAACAAAAUAAAGCAAAACAAUUAAGCUGGGAUCAGUGCAAUAUUAGUCGACUUGCCUCUGUGGGGGAUGGUAAAUCUUUUCUAUGAUCCUGUUUGGGUUCCAAGCAUGCUUUCUCAGCCUCUUGUGAUUGUACUUUGCAGGCAGUGUGAAGGGGGAGUAGUGAUGAUUAUUGCAGUCCUUGGAUUGCUAGAUGGAAACGAGUUCUGUACUCUUGGGCAUUAUGGUCACUGAGACUUCAAUUCCGGGCAGUUGCAGGUGGAGUUUUACUUAAGAGUUAAGAUGUGUUUUCCUUGGGGUCUGUCAAAGUGUUCAGGAUCUCAAAUUGCAGACCACAGUACAGAGGCAUUAUAUGUGGGUGACGUGGUCGGUAGGUAAAAAAUUCCACUGAAUUUAUCUUCUCUUUUUCUUUGGUUAGUUUGUGUUUAAGUUAUGUCCUUGUUUGAAGCUUGGGUUGCAUGGUGUCUUAUAAACUCUCCGAUCCCAUUCAUGUAUCUGCAACGAUAAAAAUUACAACCUGGCGCCUCCUUGUAGAAGAGAGAGAAUGCCCUGGGCCAAUUCCCUUGCCUAAACUAAUGGAAAGAUCCUCACUUCUCCUUGGCUUUUUUUAUACUUUACCUUUGAGGUCAUCUUGUUAAGAUAGUGAAUAAUAUAAAUAGCCUCUUAAAUUUAAGUUGAAUUAUUAUGUAGUUUUAUAUUUCAUUCCCCCUCCCGCCAGCCUAUUAGGUUAUAAGUAAGAGCUUUUUCGCCGCUAAAAGAUUUGAGGAGGAGGAGACUACCUCUUGAAGGACUUGAUAUAGGGGAAAUAAUGAGACCUAAGGCAGCCACUGUAGGCUGGGGUGGAGUUCAAACGAACAAUCGAGCUGCUUCCAUUUCGGUGUCUGGAGACCAGGAUCCUCUUCAGCCUGUUUUGUUUUGUUUUCUUUUCUUUUCUUUUAAAUGCAUCCUGUUUCUCUUCCCUUUUUGUUUUAACCCCGAUUCCUCGGUGUAGGUGCUAUUCAUUGCAUUGGUCAGUCGAUUUCAUAUCAUGUUAUUUCAAAUGAAGUUGUUAAUGGUGGUGAGGCACUAGAAUAAAUCCUUGCCUGAUACUGUAGAGUGUAUCUAGACGCCUGGAGCCCCAAAAGGUGUGUCUAUUUUCCCAUCAGUUGGGUUUCCUCGGCUCAAAUAGCUAGAGAACUCAAUGAUAGCUAUAACCAAGACCAUGAAACGUUCUAGAUGAAAAAUACAAUUAUCUGGGAACUCUGGUUUGCCUGGAUUUAUUUCUGGAGAAGUUUUUUUUUCCCUAAAGAGACCUGUCAAAAAAGGUACUUCUGCCAACAGAGAUGUUUCUUUCAGGGACUUGGGUCACACGGCCUGCGGGAGCAGUGGGGUACCUCCCGCGAGGGCUGUGACUGCGUACCAAAGUGGCUGGCUCCCCCUUGUGGCCAAAUACGAGCACACACGUCCACUCAACCUCCCUGAGCGCCACCUAAUUCUGGGCUUUCCUUCUUACUUUCUCGCACCUGAAGUCAAGCGCUGCUAGCCCCAGUUAAUUUGUCUCACAGACUUUGGAGUUUAUGCUGAGAGGUAUACCAACCACCUCUGCGAAACUGAAAAAGAAAAUCAGAGGAUUAGCCUGAGUUUGGAAAGCCUUCGCAGACAUUGUGUCGGGGAAAUAGGUGCUUGCAUCUGGCUUAAUCUUUUGGCCAAUGAUAAUUUUGUAUUUUUGGUAAAAGAAGCUGGUAUCUGUUUAAUAUAAAUUUACUGAGCAUCUGCUCUAGUCAGUGAAUGAUUUCUUCUUAUGAAUAUAGAACUUUCCUGCAAAUGGUGUUGUAAAGACAAAUGAAAACCCAAUCAACUGGAACUAAAUGGUUAAAAGAAACAAGUCAGUUUUGUAAACUGAAUUUUUGCAAAUUGGCUUACAGCAGGUGGCCUACUUCUGUAUUUUCCAGGUUCUGUCCUGGGUGAGAAAGACCAGUCUGAUCAAGUCCCCAGUCUCUGGUGCUUGUACUCUUCUUACCGGCAGAGAGAUGUAAACAAAGAAGGCCAGUGAAUCAUGAAAUGUGACAUGUGUGAUGCUGAGUUUUCUGUGUGACCCGGUCACUGUGGAAGCACAAAGGGGGAGGUAGUUAAUUCUGUCCACCUUGAGGUUUGGAGAGCAUGUAUUAUUGAAGGAGGUGACGACUGCAUUCGGUUUCCUGGGGAAUGAGGGAGCAGGAAUGGCGGGGGGAGAAGCUUGAAUAAAGCUUGAUGGUGUGAAAUGACAUAUCAUAUUCAGGAAACAGCAAGUAACUGAGUAUGAAUGUAGAAUGGCUUGGGGAAUGUCUAGAGGAGGCUGGUUGUUUAGAUUUUAGCCAGGAGAUGCUAAUAAAGGGCUGGCUAAGAGAGGCAUGAUAACACCGGCUGAGGAUAAGGAUUGUCCUGAAGAAAAAUGUAAAGCCAUCGAAGGGCAGGGCAGGAUCACAUACUCUUAUGUUUCAGAGAAAGCUCUUUGGUGAAGGUAGAGGGAUGUAGGUGGGGGGGGUGAGGCUCUAGGGAGAAAAAAGUAUAUAAAAAGCAUUGCAAUAAUGUGGCUGGAGUGAACACACUCGGGUCAUAGGGAAGGGCGAGGAGAGUCUGAGGAAGAGAGGAGAGUCUGGGAUGAGCCUAAGGUUCUUACUUGGGGGGCUGAGUGGGAGGGGGUGUCAUUCAUUAAACAUAGAAGGAGAAAGCUUGGAGUAAGGUAAAUGAGUUGCUGUCAGACCUGCUAGAAGUUUCAGGAGUCCCACACGUCAGAGUAAUCAUAAGAGUAGUAUGUAAGCUUUCCAUAUAUAUUUUGGGUAUGUUUAAUAUUUAUGACGUAUUUAUUAACAGAUUUAUUGAGAUAUAAUCAACACACGAUUAACUGAACAUAGUUCAAGUGUGUAAUUUGGUAGUUUUGACAUGCGUAUACCCUUGUGAAGCCAUCGCCACAAUUAAGAUAAUAGACAUAUCCAUCACCCCCAAAAGUUUCUUGGUGCCCCUUUGUGAUCUGUCUCCGUCCCCAGGGAAUCACUGAUCUGCCUUUUGUCACUGUAGAUUUUUUUGCAUUUCCUAGAAUUUAAUGUAAAUGGCCCAUAUGUUACACUCUUUUAUGUCUGACUUUUUCCACCCAGCAUAAUUAUUUUGAGAUUCACUCGUGUUACUGAGUGUAUUGGUCAUUUAUUCCUUUUUUAUUGCCAUGUAGUAUUCUAUGAUAAUGAUGUAGUACAAUUUGUUUGUUUGUUUGCCUACUGAUGGUUUUUUUCCCCCCAGCUUUCAGCUAUCACAAGUAAAGCUGCUAUGAAUAUUUGUAUGCAAGCCUUUGGACAGGUAUUUUCAUUUCUCUUGGGUGAAUACCUAGGAGUGGCAUAGUUGGAUCAUAAGUUAGGUGGAUGUUUUGUAAGAGAUGGCCAAACUGUUUUCCAAAGUGACUAUCCUAUUUUAAGUUCUCACCAGUAGUGUGCGAGAGGUCACUACUCACGAUCCUUGCUAUCGCUUAGUAUGGUCAAUGUUUACACAUGCCAGCCAGUGUAGUUGUGGUAUCACAUUGUGUUUUCCAUUUGCAUUUCCCCAGUCAUUAAUGAUGUCGAGUAUCUCUUGACUUGCCUAUUUAUCAUCAAUAUAUUUUUGGUGAAGUGUCUGUUUGGAUAUUUUGCCCAUUAGAAAAAAGAGGUUGGUUAUUUUCUCACUGGGUUUUGCGUAUGUUUGUUUUCAAGUAUAUUCUGCAUGCAAAUCUUUUAUCAGAUAUAUAAUUUGCAUAUAUUUUUCUCUUGGUCUGUGACAUCUUUUCAUUAUCUUAACAGUGUCUUUUGAAGAGAAGACGUUUUACAUUUUGAUGGUGUCUAACUUAUCAAUUUUUUUCUUCAAUGAAUCAUGCCUUUUGUGCCACAUUUAAGAAAUCUUUAUUUAACACAAGGUCACAAAGAACUUUUACUGUUUUCAUUUACAAUUUUUUCUACUUUUAGGUUUCACAUGUAGGUCAAUGCCUUUUCACCUGUUGAGAUGACCAUGUGAAUUUUAUUUUUUAGACGAUUGAUACCAAUUACAUUGGUUUUCAAAGUUAUGCCAACUUUGCAUUUCCGGGAUCUACUCUAUUUGGUAAUAAUGCUUUGUCCCUAUCAUGUAUUGUUAGGUCCAACUUGCUAAAAUUUUAUUAAUAAGUUUUGUAUCUAUGUUUAUGAGGGACAUUUGUAUCCUUUAAUAUCUUUGUCUCAUUUUUGGAAUUAGUAUAAUGCUGAUCUCAUUCAGUAAGUUGGAAAGUAUUCUCCCCUCUUUCAUUUUCUGGAAGGGCUUGCAUAGAAUUGAUCCUUUGAAGCCAUUUUUUGAAGCCAAUGGUCCAGUGAAGCCAUUUUUGCCUAGAGUUUUGUGCAUGGGAAGAUUUUAAACUAAGUAUUUUAGUUUUUAAUAGCUGCAUGGCUAUUGAUGUUCUUAAUUUCUCCUUGAGUGAGCUUUGAUAAUUUGUGUUUUUCAAUUUUAUUAUUCAUUUCAUCAAAUCUACCAAGUUUUAGCCACAAAAUUGUUCAUGUUAUUUCCUUAGUAUCCUUUAAAAAUUUUUUUUUCAAUUUAAUGUUUAUUUAUUUUGAAAGAGAGAGAGACAGACAGAGUGUGAGCAGGGGAGGGGCAGAGAGAGAAGGAGACACAGAAUCUGAAGCAGGCUUCAGGCUCUGAGCUGUCAGCACAGAGCCCGAGAGGAGGCUCAAACUCAAGAGCUGUGAGAUCAUGACGUGAGCGGAAGUCGGACGCUUAAUCGACUGAACCACCCAGGCAACCCAUGUUAAUAUCCUUUUGAUGUUUGUAAUAGUAUGGGAUGAUGUCAUUUCUGUCAUUGUGGAUAUUGGUAUUUUUUGUCUUCACCCUUUUUUCCCCUGAAAUUUUAUCGAAAUUCAUCAAUUUUAUUGACUUCUCAAAGAAUCAGUUUUUAGUUUGAUUUCCUCUAUUGAUUUUCAGUUUUGAUUUCACUGAUUUUCAUUCUGAGUUUUAUUGUUCCUUUCUUCUGUUACAUUCGAGUUUACUCUUUUUUUUUUUCUGGUUUCUUAAGUUGAAAGAUUGGGUCACUAAUUUGAGAUCUUUCAGUGUUUUCUUAAGGUGAAAGCUGAAGUUAUUAGUUUGAGGUUUUUUUAAUCUUUUCAGUAUAGGAAUUCAGUGUUUUGAAUUUCCCUUUUGGUACAAAGUACUUUAGCUACAUCCCACAAUCUUUGAUAUGUUGUGCUAUUUUCAUUUACCUUGAAAUACUUUCUAGUUUCCUUUUUGAUUUCUUCUUAGAUCCAUUUGUUAUUUGGAAGGGAAUCCUUUAGUUUCUGUAUAUUUGGGGAUUUUUCCAGAUGCCUUUUUGAUUUUGAUUCCUAAUUUGAUUUCAUUUUCGUCAAAGAGCAUCCUUUAUGUGACUCAAAUCCUUUUAUAUUUGUUGAGCCAUGUUUUAUGGCCCAGAAUUUGGUUAAUUUUGAUAAACGUUGUAUGUGUAUUUGAAAAGAAUUGAUAUCUUGCUGUUGGGUGGGGUGUUCUAUAAAUAUCACUUAGAUCUAGUUGUUACUAUUUUCCAAUUUUUCUAUAUCUUUACUGAUUUUUUUUUUUUACUUAUUUUAUCAAUUGUGGACAUCUCUGGCAUUAAUUGUGAAUUUUUCUAUUUCUCUAUCAGUAUUCAUGGUAGAAGCUCAUGUAUUUUGAAGUUCUGCUAUCAGAAACCAAAAUGCUCACUGAUGCCCGGGACAUGCUUCAUUAUGUUGUUAAACCAGAGGCCCUGUGAACCCCAAAGCUGUAAGCUGGUGCUUGCGUUGUGUUCAUUGAUCCCUUCACUCAACAGACAUUUAGUGAGCAUCUAAUACUUGCUGAACACUAUUCCACAUGCUGGAACAACCAAAAUUGACAUAUAAUAUCUCUGUCCUUUUAAAACUCCUUGAAAACGCUGCCAGCCAGUUUCAGCGGGUCUCAGCUCGGGCUGGGUGCUGUGCAGGGAGCUGGCGGCAGGGGGCGCUGCGGCGGGGCUGGAAGCUGGGGGCCAGACAGCAGCUCGUUGAAUCUGGGCGUUUUAGCUGAGACCUGAAGGGUGUCCAGAUCAUCUCUGCGCUCUUCAGUCUGGAGCACUGAGCUUCCUCUGCCCGCCUGGCCCUUCUCCCUGCCUCUGCGCUCCACCACACUCACCCUUCAAGGUGCAGCUAACCGGAGUUUUUCUUCUGGAAGUCUUAUGGAAUCCCGCAGUCAGGCUGCCUCUACUGCUUAGAGCAAUUGUAUUUUUUUUUUAAAUCACAGUAUUUAUCACACAGUGUUGUAAUUUUGCGUCACCAUUUGUCUGAGCAGACUGUGAGCCAUCGCUUGUGUGCCAAGGCCAUUUUUCAUCUUGCAGGCUACUUUUAUUUUGUUUUGUUUUAUUUUAUUUUACUGUAUUUUAUUUUUAAAAGUGUAUUUAUUUAUUUUGAGAGAAAGAGAGCGUGCGUGCAUGCAAGCAGGGGGAGGGGCAGAGAGAGAGAGGAGAGAGAACGUUCCUUUAAAAAAAAACUUUUUAAAUCAAAAAAUUGUUUUAUUCUCAAGUUAGUUAACAUACAGUGUAGUCUUGGCUUCACGAACAGAACCCAGUGAUUCAUCUCUUACAUAUGGUACCCAGUGCUUUUCCGGAAAAGUGCCCUCCUUAAUGCCCGUCACCCAUUUAAUACGCCCCUGCAACGCCCAUGAACUCUCAGUUUGUUCUCUGUAUUUAACAGUGUCCUGUGGUUUGUCUCUCUCUCUCUGUUUUUAUCUUCUUUUUCCUUCCCUUCCCCUAUGUUCAUCUGUGAGUUUCUCAAAUUCCACGUAUGAGUGAAAUCAUAUGAAAUCUGUCUCUCUCUGACUGACUUAUUUCAAGAGAGAACAUCCUAAGCAGGCUCUGUUGUCAGCACAGAGCCCGAGGAGGGGCUCAGUCUCACGAACGAAACCGUGAGAUCAUGACCUGGGCUGAACGCAAGAGUUGGACACAACCAUCUGAGUCACUCAGGUGCCCCUAUCUUGCAGGAUACUUUUUUAAAAAACUUCUUUGUUUGUUUGUUUAUUUACUUUGAGAGAGAGCAAGCAGGGGAGAGGCAGAGAGAGAGAGAGAGAGAGAGAGAGAGAGAGAAUUCCAGGCAGGCUCCAUGCUGUCAGCACAGAGCCUGAGGUAAGACUCGAACCCACAAACCAUAAGAUCAUGACCUGAGCUGAAACCAAGAGUCAGACACUCAACCUACUGAGCCACCCAGGUGCCCCUGGCAGGCUACUUUUAAAAAUUAAAUUAAUCAAUGUGAUAUGGGUGGAGGCACUAUUGUAUGCUUAGUGUAUAAUAACUAUGCAAUAAAAAUGUAUUAACUUAAUGAUGCAUGACUAGGCUGUUGCCUUCUGACAUCUCAUGCUUUUCUUUGAGCCCUAGUUAUUCUAGCUCUACUAACAAAUGGCCUCCAGUCUAGAUCACAUCUGCUUUGGUUGAGUUUGUCAAGUCAUGCAUCCGUUCCUACAGUAAUGUCGCUGACCCUUUGUUGUGCAUUGUUUUCAGCAAAUGCAACUCUACACGGAAAUAUAAGGGAGAGGAAAUCACUGCAUUAGAAAUUUCUCUAAUUUCAUAUUAGAUGGCAAAGCCAUCUGACUUGUGACAGUAAAACCUGGCUGCUCUGCUGGGUCUGUAGACAUGUUGACAACAGUGAGGAAAACGAGAACCUACUGCAUCAGAUCUUUACUAGGAGGCCACGUAUAGUGAAUGGAUCUCAAGGCACCAGAAAGCAUCCCAUAAACCAGCACGCUCCUGUGGCAACAUUGGCACUAUUAAGUGUUUCUUGCUAUUGCUGUUGGUGGUGGAGGUGGUUCUUGUUGUUGUUUGCCAAACCUUAUUUUUCUCCUUUUUUACUCUCCUCGCCCUUCUUAGGUGGAGUGAAGGCAGAAGUCCUUCUUGUCCUUCCCACCCUGCUCUGGGAUGUGCUGCGGGCUGGAGUUUUCUGGGCAGAGACACAGUCAGAAGGAAUGCCUUAAUGAUAUUUAACUUCCGUAAGGUCCAGAAUUUGGUUGGUUUUUUUCGCUUCCCACUUUUGGUGUUAAAUCUUUACAUCCUAGCACAGGCAUACUGGAUAUUGUGCCGUGUAACUUGGUUCUGUACUUUGUGGUCGAUCCUUGCACCUAAGAACUUCGCUACAGUGCCUUGGAUUUAGGCAAAUGUUGAUUCUCUUACGAAGUUCUCUUUCAUCCCAUUGCAAGAUUUGGACCAACUACUUUUCUAUUAGAUAAUUUCAGGUCAGAAAGAAUCAGCAUCUAAUCAAACUGUCUAAUGGGCAGACCUGUCUAAAUUUCUUUCCAUAGCUACUCUCUUGGCUGGACCUAGACUUGGUUAUUUCUCGAAUUUGCUCUUGUAGUUCCAGUCUGAAAAACAAAAUGAACAAAGAAACACACACACACAUACACACACGCACGCACACACACACACACACCCCACAGUAUUUCUUCUGCUUAUUAUCACAUCGUCCAUUUUCACGUAGAAAUCUUCUCUGUCUCUGUCUCUGCUGAUCAGCUUCGUCCUCUAAAGCCAUUUCCAGCAUUUCCCUUCUAUAAUGCAGAACCGAGAUCUUUGAACUAAUCUCUCUUUGGAACUGGAUUUUGAAGGUUUUCAACAGGAGCUUGGCUGAAUUGGAAUAUCUCUUCCAAGUUAUGCUGAUUUUUUUUUUUUUUUGGUAUAAUAGAGUGGUUUCAAAUACAGACUCUGGAGUCAGAAUAUUUGGGUUUGGAUCUCAGUUCUUCCACUUACUGUGUGAACACAAGCAUAAUAUUGACUUCUGUGCUUCAGCUUAUGAAUCUGUAAAAUGAGGAUAACAAUAGCACCUACCUCACACGGUUAUUGUGAGGACCGAAUGCGGUAAUAUAAUCAAAGCCUUCGGAUUAGUGCCUGAUACAUAAUACUAACAUAAUACCUGUUGACUGUUAUUAUUUUUACCUCGCAAUCUUCUCAGUAUUUCUGUCUUCGGUUGCAGGGGGAUUGAGAUAAAGUAGAGAGCUCCUGGAGCUGCUGAAUUUUUACCUAAUAAUAUUGAUCUGGUGUUUUUUGUUUUUGUUUUUAAUUUCCUGUCCGCAGUUCUUUAUUUACUCUUUUGGUUCAUCAUUAUGUCUUCAGUGUCCAGCACUGAAGUCGGACACAUAGUGAGCGCUUCAUCAUUUGCAUAAUGAAUGAAUGGAUUCUUUCUGACUGUACUCUCUGAGAUGGCCUACCACUGUUCAGGAUCUGUCACACAUUGUUUUGGCCUCACUGGAUCUGGUCUGGGUUGAAAUGUCCUCUUCUUCUAAAUAUUUAUUUAGAGAGAGAGAGAGAGGGAGAGAGAAAUCCCAAGCAGGCUCUGUCAAGGAGCCUGACGCAGGGCUCGAACUCACAAACCGUGAGAUCACGACCUGAGCCGAAACCAAGAAUCAGAUGUUCAACUGACUGAGCCACCCAGAUGCCCCUGAAAUGUCCUCUUCUUAAUUCAGGGUUCUUACCACAGGAAAAUCCAAUGUCGUGGUGUGAGUCCUGUAAACUAUACCUUAACCUGAACAUUCUGUGUCUGCAAGCUCUUCUGUGCCUAAUCGGGGAGGCCCCUUGCACAAGAGGGGUCUCUUCCUUCUACACAGUGUAUACCUGAAAGUACAGUCCCCACUUGGGCAGUCAUGACACCAUCACCACCAUUAGGCCCUGUAACAGCAUUCAGGAUAUAACUGUCAAAUCAUUUCAGCUAUUUUUGCUUGGUAAGAAAAGGAGCCUGAAUGCUGCCCAUUGUCCCCACUUUUCUCUUUGUGUUCUGGCCUAAAGGGACCUGCUGAUUGACAUUGGCCAUGUCUUAUUGGUUUCAAAAGUGCUGUCUUUUAGCUGUUUCCAUUCAUGAGUUUUCUUUUUUUUUAAGUUUUUAUUUAUUUUUGACAGAGAGAGCGAGCGCAAGCUGGGGAGGGGCAGAAGGAGAGGAAGACACAGAAUCUGAAGGAGGCUCCAGGCUGUCAGCACACAGCCCGAUGCGGGGCUCAAACUCACAAACCAUGAGAUCGUGACCUGAGUCAAAGUCGGAUGCUUAACCAACUGAGCCACCCAGGAGCCCCUCCAUUUCAUGAGUUUUAACUGUUACCAUUACUGAUGUGCCCAGCACGAUUUUAUCACUAGGACAGGACCUUUGGCAAGCAACUUAACCAUUUGGGACUUGGCUUUCUUUUCUGUAAAUCGAGAAGAAUUGGCCUAUACCACCUCCUUGGUCUGUUCUAGCACUGAGUUUCCACAAGUAAAAACUAAAGUCAUGGGCAAGCAAAAGACAAUGUUAAUGACCUCCUACUUGACUACUAAGUGAUUUCUGUGCUCAGAAAGGGUUUGAAAAUUCACCUCCUCAAAGGAGAUUGGCAGUUUCUCCUAGCCUGGUUACAAGCCAUCUUCUCAAAACAUUGAACGCUCCUUCUCCUGCUUUAGAAACUAAUAUUUCCUGAUGUUUUCUCCUGGCAGUUAGUGCCUGAAUACCGUACUGUGCGAUGUACAUAGUGGACAGGAUGAUUUUCCAAAAAGGGAAUUUGUUCUUGUAAGUUCCCACAUCUCCCAUGUUUCCUUUGUCUCUCUGAUUGGAUUGCUCUAGUCUUGUUGUCUUCCUGCCUCUGGGCCUUUACACACCCUCCCCUGUGCCUGAAUUAUUCUCUCCUGUGCAUCUUCCCCAAAUGCCCUUUAUCCUUUCUUCAUGCUCCCAUACUACUGGUUCCUUCUCAUUUUUCAGAUUUUAAUUUAAACAUCAUUCUUCAAAAGAGCCUUCCCUGACCAUCCAGUUGAAAGUAGGCCAUUCCUGUAAAUUCUUAUCAUAGAGUCCCCGGCAUUACAAACACAGAUUUACUUGUACCUUGUAUUUUGUAACUUAAUGUUAGUUUCUUUAUUUAUCAUCUGCGUCUCCUAUGGAACUGUAAGCUCUGUGAUGACAGAGACCAACUAUUAUUUAUUUGCCAGUGCACAUCUAUGCCCAGAACAUUAUACCUGCUCAAUAAAUGUUUAUUGAAUGGGUAGAAAAGUAUUAUUACAGCCUCUUCAAUAAUAUAACCUGUAUUUUCUGUUGAUUUAUUAGAUUUCAUGUGCUUCAUCAGCAAGAGAGAUGAAAACGAUUACCAGGAUGAAAAGAACAUUUUAUGGGAUUGGAAACAAAGGAAUCUACAAAGCUGUCAGUGA
RNA transcript from Panthera uncia (snow leopard), 11921 nucleotides. It is a transcript of the gene named interleukin 26, with no coding region annotated. Lineage: Eukaryota; Metazoa; Chordata; Mammalia; Carnivora; Felidae. The transcript is spliced from 3 exons. The record is from RefSeq and is a predicted model, not a curated record.